RNAcentral lists this ribosomal RNA (776 nucleotides) under uncultured Neocallimastigales. RNAcentral describes it as "partial large subunit ribosomal RNA". It matches the Rfam family "Eukaryotic large subunit ribosomal RNA", at positions 23 to 647 of the family's 3401-position model. The record is from RNAcentral. Lineage: Eukaryota; Fungi; Neocallimastigomycota; Neocallimastigomycetes; Neocallimastigales.
AAGAGAGAGACAUGCGCGCAUAUCAAUAAGCGGAGGAAAAGAAACUAACAAGGAUUCCCCUAGUAACGGCGAGUGAAGCGGGAAGAGCUCAAAUUUGAAAUCUUAAAGGGUUUCCCUUUACGAAUUGUAGUUUAAAGAAGUGUUUUCUGUUGAGGUUUUGGUAAAAGUUCUUUGGAAUAGGACAUCAUAGAGGGUGAGAAUCCCGUAUUUGACCUUUACUUUCAACUUUGUGAUACACUUUCAAAGAGUCGGAUUGUUUGGGAAUGCAGUCCAAAAUGGGUGGUAAAUUUCAUCUAAAGCUAAAUAUUGGCGAGAGACCGAUAGCGAACAAGUACCGUGAGGGAAAGAUGAAAAGAACUUUGAAAAGAGAGUUAAACAGUACGUGAAAUUGUCAAAAGGGAAGCGUUUGACACCAGUGUUGUUUUUCUGAAAAUCAAUUAAAGAACUGUUUAUGCUAAGCUGUUUAGACUUUAUCAGCUAAUCUGUUCAGUUUUGAGCUUUUCUUUAAUGCACUUUUCAGUUAACAAGUCAACAUCAAUUUCUUUUGCUGUAAAAAAGCUUGAGGAAGGUGGCUUGAGAUUCGUCUUAAGUGUUUAUAGCCUCUUGCCUAUGCAGUCGGAGAGAUUGAGGUCUGCAGCGUAGAUCCUUCGGGGCUAAAUGCAUUUGUGCUAAGUUAUAGCAUUUUAUAGACAACUUGUUGACUAUGAUUUGUCUUGUAGCUUACUCGCUUAUGUUAUUUUACCUACGCUUAGGAUGUUGACGCAUGAGAUAUACGC